UAUUCUUAUCGGUGGAUUAUUUGACACAUGGAAUUAUUGAUGAACGCAGCUAGUUGCAAUAAAUAGUGCAAAUUGCAGACACAUUAAGCAAUGAAAUUUCGAAUGCACAUUACGCUGUCGGGUUCAUAGCACUUCUCGGAAGGAAGAA
This 148-nucleotide ribosomal RNA is filed under the name Gongylonema pulchrum. Its description in RNAcentral is "5.8S ribosomal RNA". It matches the Rfam family "5.8S ribosomal RNA". Rfam says of the family: 5.8S ribosomal RNA (5.8S rRNA) is a component of the large subunit of the eukaryotic ribosome. It is transcribed by RNA polymerase I as part of the 45S precursor that also contains 18S and 28S rRNA. Lineage: Eukaryota; Metazoa; Nematoda; Chromadorea; Rhabditida; Gongylonematidae. The record is from Rfam by way of RNAcentral.